GAUGAACGCUGGCGGCGUGCCUAAUACAUGCAAGUCGAGCGAACAGACGAGGAGCUUGCUCCUCUGACGUUAGCGGCGGACGGGUGAGUAACACGUGGAUAACCUACCUAUAAGACUGGGAUAACUUCGGGAAACCGGAGCUAAUACCGGAUAAUAUAUUGAACCGCAUGGUUCAAUAGUGAAAGACGGUUUUGCUGUCACUUAUAGAUGGAUCCGCGCCGCAUUAGCUAGUUGGUAAGGUAACGGCUUACCAAGGCAACGAUGCGUAGCCGACCUGUGAGGGGGAUCGGCCACACUGGAACUGAGACGCGGUCCAGACUCCUACGGGAGGCAGCAGUAGGGAAUCUUCCGCAGUGGGCGAAAGCUUGACGGAGCAACGCCGCGUGAGUGAUGAAGGUCUUCGGAUCGUAAAACUCUGUUAUUAGGGAAGAACAAAUGUGUAAGUAACUAUGCACGUCUUGACGGUACCUAAUCAGAAAGCCACGGCUAACUACGUG
This 497-nucleotide ribosomal RNA is filed under the name uncultured bacterium. Its description in RNAcentral is "partial 16S ribosomal RNA". It matches the Rfam family "Bacterial small subunit ribosomal RNA", at positions 28 to 507 of the family's 1533-position model. The record is from RNAcentral.